GGCCGCCGCGGCGCGCGCCCGGUGGCCGUUGGCGCUCGCGCCGCGUCUUUCUUCUCGGGCCAGAGACAAAUGGUUUCCUUUCAAGAGAAAUGACUGUUUUGAAGAAAAACUCUGUUGGUCUUAGCUCUUUUGUAAUUAAAUCUGGAUGUACCUCAAAAGACUCUUUAAGACUGUGGUGUUAAAAGGCUUUCCUCUGGAGAAGGAGAAAAAAUAAAAUCAACUGGAACUUAAAAGCUUGAAAUUCCAUGACAAAACACAGAUGUCCAGGAUUGGAGGUUCAUAAAGUACAUGCAGUAGUUGGAGUGGAUUCCAUUUUCAGUGUAGCUGCCACCAUGGACUCCAGGCUCCCAGAUUUUCAAGAACUGGACCUGUGACCCAGAAGAGCUUGUCAAGAUAUGACAGGAACUCUGGAGGUGGACGUUUUGUAUUCAAUUUUGGAACUGUUGAUCUUGCCGUGAGAAAAGAGAGACACGACUCACCAAGCACUGCCACCAGCACUGUCACUGGGAACUUGAAGAUCCAAGUUUCUGUCCAGAACCUCAGUGCAAACUGACAACACUCCAUCCAAAGUGAACUACGGUCCCGUGCCUCCUGAUUGCUGAAUGUUCACCUGGACCUGCCAAUGACCUUCCUUCUGCUACUCCAUCAGCCUACAGACCUGGUACUUGGAUUUUUGUCCAUGGUGAUUCCUUCCACCUUACUACUGAAGAAGACACCAUUCCAGUGGACCACUGUGACCCAAGAAGCAUUCAGCCAUCAUGAUGUGGCCUUUACCUCCACUCCUGUCCUACUCUGCCCAGAUUCAGCACAGCCCUUUAUAGUGCAGUCAAGAGUCUUCAAGCCAAAUAACUGAAGCUAUUUUAUCACAACAAAGGCCAGGUUUAUUCCAUAAAUGUACAGUUCAUUUCUGCAGUUUAUUCUUCAGAGACACAUAGUAAAUUUGGACCAGGGGAUUUUGUUUUGUUUAUAUUGUCAACACUGUCUGAAGAAAGGCAUCUCUGAGAACAGCAUUGGACCCUACUCCACAAUCUCAAAUGAUUGAAGUUUCAUAAACUGCCUAGGAUCCUGUCAAGGCCACUGGACUCUUGUUCUUUUCCUACUUCAAAAUCUGUAGCUGUCUACUAAAUGACAAAGCAGAUAUUCUGACCCAUUGGGAUCAAAACCAAGGCAUUUUGAAUUCCUCAUAGUAUCAUCUUCGGGUUACUCAGGAACCAAAACUUUUCACACCAAUUUAAGAAAUUCUACUGAGGAAUCCCUUUACCUAACCAUCUCACAAGGCUUCAACCAGAUUCCUGAAAAGGCCUCUUGAUAUAUCAAGAUAGAACCUACAUGCAUUUUGUGAACAACUUAUCACUGAUUUUCCAAAGGCUUUGUGCUCUUGAAGUUCUUUGAAGGAAAGCUGUGUGGAAGUCCAGAGUAAAGUGAAGCUGCUCUGGAUGAAGUAGUGAAGUGGGAGUUGAGGUCUACAACCUGCCACAACCAUCUUCCUUUACCACCAUGGUGAUGCCAAAAGGGACUUCCUUAAAGCUCUUCAGAAAAUCCUGCUUGAAACCACUACCCUAGACAACAUGUUUGACCUGGAUGGCAUUCUCUUCAAAACAAUUCAUAUUCAGUUGAUGCUCAACAUGUUUGGAGAUGCUUUAUUCAGAGAAUGAUGAUAAUUACAGCAUUGUCUAAUGAAGUUUUAUUAAUAGCAUUCCAUCCAAGGUGGACUUCCUGGAGUUGGAUAUAACCAGAGAGCAAUUCAUAUGUAUCCUACACUGAAGAACACCAUUAACUUUCAGCAACCUAUAGCUAGUGGUACUAGAAGUACGUGUCUUGGAAGUCUAUGAGAGCUGGUAUUGAAGCUGAUGCCUCCUUAAGGCCAUCUUAGACCAAGUUGUUUGUUUGACCUCUCCUCAUUAACUAUGGAGCAGAAUUGAAAUACAAAUUUUUCCUAAAGGGACUUGCAACCUGGUUAUCAUUCAUUAUCUCAAGUUUCAAGUCAUGUUGAUGCAACCAGUAGUUAUUAAACUGCUCCAUGGUUUUUUGUUAUUUAAUACUUUUUCCAGGGCUUAAAAAAACAAAAUUAAAUUUCUCCAACACGUCUAUACUUGUCUGUUCAAAAGUAACUACUCACCACUAUAUGGAACAGAUGAUUCUGAAGACACUCUGAGCAUCCUUUAUGAUAUUUGUGACUUAAAAUGUGGCUGGAAAUUUUCCUUCUACCCAGUGAAAUAUUUAAUGAUUAGUCUUCAUGCCUGAUACCAUCAACUGUAUAUGCGUGAUAGGCAAAGUUUGACAUAGGCAUUUGACUCUAGGCUAUGAUAGCUUGCUAGUAACUUCAAGUAGCAUAUUGUCAACCUGUUUGCUGGAAAAGUAGAGUAACUUGGAAAAAAAACUAAAUGGCAGCUAAGGAUUUUUUUCAGUAUUCCUGAGUUUCUGUCCUUGGGAUAUUUCAAUGAAAUUUUCACCUGUCUCUUCACUUAACAGAGUGACUGACUCCUUACUAUGAAGUAUUCUUAAGACAUUAAGAUUACUUUUGUAGAAAGGAUAAAAUUCCUGACCAUCCAAAUCAUCAUAGUGAACAAGACUUCAAUUUGUGACCUGAGAAAAUCUCAUUUCUCUACUUCGUAGUCAAUGUAAGGGCCAAUGCUAUCAGCUACUCUGAGUGCACUGGGUAAACGUUGGAACUGCCUUCUUUAUAUCAUUACUUUUUAUCCUCUAAAUUAAUCAUGGUUAUGUAAUUCUCGCCACAAAUCAGCAAAUCAGACUCAGAUCUGGUUAUUCUAGACUGCUCACAGUUAACAAAUCAAACUCUGGAUGACUUCUGCUUGUAUAUGCAACUACUAUUUGUAAAGAAAUUGCAAAUUCACUUUUCUAUUACCUCUACAUUGCUAGCUCUUUCUUUUGUGUUUGUAUUAAAAACAAAAAUAAGCUACACUGCCAGCUAUUCCCUCCUGCCAUACUCAGUUAAAAUGAAGAAUCGGGAAUCUAACCAGUGAAUGGAUAAGUAGAAAAAACUAAAACUUAAGGCAAAAGCCUUAAUCUAGGGCCUUUUCUACUAUCUUCAUGUCUUGGAUUUCAUCUAAAAUCAACAGUGCCACCCAACCAGUCUGAGGUCUUGACUUGCUUUUAAGAUGAUUCUUAGAGAUGGGCUGUAUUACAGAAGGUGAAGACUUGAUUACCAAAGAAAGUAGAGCCAACUUUGACAAACCUGGCUCUACAAUCCUAUUGCUUCCAGAUGUAGCAUAGACUCAUAACUAGAACCUCAAGUCUGCAUUGAGGAUAUAGCCUUCUAAGCUGACAGUUCUUGCAACAGGUGAGCAAGAAAAUGAAAGCUGUUAUACCCAACUGGCCCUUUAAGAUCCAAAAAUAAUGUCUGGACUAAACCCUAUGGAGUACCCAGGACAAAAACUAAUUUACAGAGCUUCAUUAUUAAUCUGCCUGUUCUUCUAGCUUAAUUAUUGGUAUGGCUGGCCCUACUGAAGUAGUUUGUCUGUUUACCUGUCUUCAGCUCUUAACCUGGCUAUUUUGACAUGCUACUGCAAUUAGACUAACUGGCUUUGAGAAGACUACAAUCAGUUUCAGCCUCUCCUUUGCCCAAUUUCACCAAGGAAUUUUGAUAAGAGGAACCCAUACCUCACCCCACCAGAACAGAAAGGACCAUGCUGCAUAUUCCUUGACCAGCAACUUUAAGUAGAGAACAACCCUGCUUGUUUUCAACAUCUGAAACACCAUUUGAUCUAAUAGGAGUAUAGAAGGUUGACAGCAGAGUACACUACUUACUUCUUUCAUAACUCAGAAAUGAAUAUGACUGGCCCAGAAGUUGUAAGUUCACCUUGACAAGAAACAGCAACACCAGAAGUUUACUGCUGAACUUAACUUGCCACUUACUCGAAUAGUCUCACAGACCUGCUUGCCAAGUAGGAGGCUAGUUUUCCUGCUUCAUAUCACCAUUGGAGUGGGGCUCAAUGGGGUCAAUGUUAAUACUGACUUGAAUGGGGACCUUAUGGUGAAUCCUAGACUAUGAGGCUAAUGGAAAUUAUUGUCUAUUCAAGUGGAUUAUAGAUUUCCUGAGGACAGAACAGACAUCACUCCUGGUGAUUUUUAGAACUUGAUUACCAAGGAAGAAAUACCAGCUGCUAACAGUCAACUUCAUGGGCAAAGAUUAAGCUCUCUAUAUCUGGUCGUAUCCUGGAUGCUAGUUUUUUAUUGCCCAGUGACCAUUUCCAUCUCACGCUUAACUUCCUGAUGUUUUUUGGAACCAUCUCUUCCAAUUUUCAGUCCUGGUGAUUUAGACAGUCUUUUCAUGCUGGACAUUUUGUUGCAACCUCAUCAAUCACAGCAAAGUCCAUCUUGACUUUAGUGAUUAGUUCAGGAAUGGAUGCAUGAUUCAAGUUUGUCCAAUGAUAAUCAACCCUAGGUGUUUUCUCAGUUGUGGAGAAGUUCUCUUAGAUGCUUUAGCUUUGUAGGAGAAAACUCAAACCAACAGGGCCUACCUACUAUGUUGAAUGAUUGUAGGAGAAAACUCAAACCAACCAGGCCUACCUACUAUGUUGAAUGAGCCAGGCAGAAAAUGAAGCCAGUACAGAGGGAAAUGGAGCCAAAAGAGGAAGAGACUUGAGUUCUGAUGAUCACAUUUAUGCCCCUGUAUCCAACUGUGCCUGAAGCUAAUAGUACAUCACCUGGACUUUUCAGUUAUGUGAACCAAUAAAUUCCCCUUUUUGUUUAAGUU
RNAcentral lists this unclassified non-coding RNA (4717 nucleotides) under Mus musculus (house mouse). RNAcentral describes it as "noncoding RNA taurine upregulated gene 1 splice variant a". The stretch from base 583 to 818 matches the Rfam family "Taurine upregulated gene 1 conserved region 3". Lineage: Eukaryota; Metazoa; Chordata; Mammalia; Rodentia; Muridae. The record is from RNAcentral.